UAUUUACAGUUAGGAAACUGAAUUAAUGUGAUCAGUACCUUAGGAAUUAAAUUAUCACAAUGGUAACGGAAGCGACAAUAAUUAAACAUGUUAGAUUAUUUCUAUAAAUUUCAUUGUAACCACAUAAAUUCAAUGACUUCACAGAUUCCUAUACACAGAAGAAUCCUGAUUUAUAUAUACAAAUAAUACGUUUAAUAUGGAGAUGUGACUUCGUGCGUAAAUGUUUCCCGUUUUACCAGGAUACCAAAUUCAAAUCAAAACUUACCAUCCAGCAGAGAACAAGAAGUAACUUCUAAAUUAUUCGUAAUUAUUUCCAAACACCACAUCCUACACGAACACGAACACAUGUUAAGACACGCGUUUUGUUAUGGGCUCUGUGAUUGGUUCAGACUAAUUAUGACAGCUGUAUUGUGAUUGGUAAAGUUGGGCGACAAGUGUAAUCUUGGUCCCAUAGAUGGCAGCAAACAUCGCACAUGUCUCACUUUCCUCCGCGCCAAUUAUUUUUUGAGGGGGGGGGGGCUGAUGUAACUUCAUCCUGGUCAGCGCUACAGUUGAGCGAUGGUGCUGCGAUCCAUGUGCAGAAAUUUAUACCAAGUGGAUACGCCGUGUGCGGAUCACUCUGGCUCCAAGCAGCAGGCAAACGACGCACUGAUACCAACACGAUAAAGCUUGAAAGUUCAUACUUAAUUUGUAUCAUCAUGUUAGUGCCUGACCAUUGUGGUUGUGGAUAAUGAGCUAAAUGUGCUUCAGGAACUGGAAGUGGAUCUUUAAUGUUUCCACUCCCAAGGCAGCAUCUAUACUGAAAGUUAAAUUCUUGCAGAAGAUAGAUAAGGCAUCAAAUUUUAAUAAAAUAUUUAAGACCACACACUACACACACUACAGGCUUUAAUUCUUCUUAGAGUGUUUUUGUUACAGUUUCAUAAAACCACCAAUCAUUCUUAAGAGACCCGGAGUGCAUUAGUGAAAAACUGCCAUUUAGUUGCAAAGAUGGCCGGCAUCAUUGUCUGAGGAGGGAUGCAGAUUUAAGAAAUUCCUACACUUUUGUACUAAGGUAAUAUGAGUCUCUGGACUAAAUACACAUGACAUGCAAGAGCCAUUCUAUUACAACUCCAUCUCUUGUUUAGUCAUUAGAUCUUCUGGAAAACUGUUAUUACUUCAAUGAAUUUGAUUUGUUUCAUUCUAGUCCAUCACACUUAUAUAAUGAAAAAGCUAAAUAGUUCCGUCCAGUGUGACUGGUUAAAAAAAGAAUCUUAACCAGUCACACUGGAUGGAACUAUUUAACUUUUUCAUGUUAUUACUUCCUUUAAUAUUUUAAAUGGAAAGUGUUCUUGAAUUUCUGUGUAAUUUCUGUGUAAUACAGUUACGUUCAAAUUUGAUGAUGUCAGUGCUGUCUUGUUCAUGAACAUUAGUAAUUUAUAUGGAUUAUAUGAGAAAUUUAGACUUCUGUACAGCUGAAGUAAUUCUAUCUGAAGAGUUGUAUCAUCUGGGAUACAAUUCCUUGUGGUCUAUUGAAAGCCAUACAAAGUUUUGGAGGAAUAUGUCACCUCUAUCUUCAGGGUUGGAGAAUAAGCCAAUGAAGAAAUUGGUGUGAAAGCAGAUAGCAAACAGAACUUGAACUCUUCAUAACCACUGCUCUGAGAACCUCAGAUCCUACUUGUUUCUGUUUAAUAGCACCCGAGGAGUAGUGGAGAAGAGAAUUAUAUAACAAGUAAAGGAAUUUCCCAACUGUGGAUCACUGUGAGAUUAUACUACUCACUGCCUACAAGGGAUCUACAUACAGGUACAUUAGAACAUUCGUUGUCUACUGCAUUCGUGUCCAUUCUUUCUGUACUGUCAACAACUCGUAGUUGCUGCAGCAUGAACGCGUUUCAGUAAUAUAAAGUUGCUUAAAGUGAAAACAUAAAAAUGUAGUCAAAUCAAACAGCAGCAGAUGAUUGGUGGCAAUAACAUUGCUUGUCACACUGUAACAAAGAGGUACAAAUUUCUAAUACUUCUAAUAAGUAUCACAGUUGACUAUUUUUAAAACACAGGUGCCCAUUUCUAAUAUGCACACACCUAUUUUAAAAAGUAUCUAAAAUGACAAAGGGCCCUUUACAAAUACAAAACAACACUAAGUUUCAGUCAUUCUAUUUUACCGAUUUCAGUAUAUCAAAUCCUGUUUCGAAGCUUACACUUUCAUACGUUUGAGUAAACAUGAAGUGACAGAAAAAUGUCAUAGUUCUCCAAAAUAAAACUGAUCUUUUAUGAAUCAAUUGAAAAUACUCAGUUUCAGCUUCUUUAAAUGCAUAUGAUUAUAAACAUCUUCAUCAGUAUCAGAACCCAGUUACUGAAUUACACAACAAUCUCUGCAAUGAAAUCUUCUUGUGUCAUCAGCCACUUGAAAAGUAACUCCAAGUUUCAUACUGAUAUGGCUGACAGCACAAGAAGACUUCACUGCAAUCAACUGAUGUGAAAGCUUCAAACCUUAUAAAGCAAUCCCCCUCCCCCUUCCAGUCUUCUUGGAUGUACCUUCCUGGGCACUCCUUCAUCAAUCCGGAGUAGAAUGAACUGGGGCUGACUUUAUGGCUGCUUCAUAUUCAGGUUGAAAAUGCUGACAGCCUUCAUCUCUGGUCAUCAAAAUUCAGGCCCUGGUCAUCAGUUUCGGUUUCCAAAUAAUGCUUCUGUCAGCUUCUGAAGAAACACAUUCGUACCAGUGACACCACGGAGUUGUGCAAAGGUGUGAACACUAACAGUGCUCCUCCAUCAGGCUCCAGCUGAGAAGUUUCAUCUCCAGGAGGAGUAGCUUUUCAGUAAUGGUAUGAAUUCCUGUGAACAAAGAUCUGUAAGGAGAUUCUUUGCACUCAUGUGACAAUAAAACUUGUUCAAACCUGCCUUUCCAUCAUCAGCUGAACUCUCAUGUAUUUUACAAGUUCACACAGUGCAAAUAAAGACCUUAGUUCCCCAUGGGAAACAGGAUAAUAGCUAGUAUUCCCUGAGACAUUCUGCACUGUUCUAUCACAUUCGAUAAACCAUGGCCAAUGUAUUCUGUUUUGCCAUUCACCUGAUGUCCCUCACACCAUUUCAUCUGACCAGUACACUCCAUGCAUUCUUUGUAAUACUAAACAUAUUCUUCUAGCCUACUUGUGACUGGAAGUUCACAGAGCCAUUGUUAAAAGUAGAUGUUACCAACUGGACGUCAAUAAUGUCAUGCAGGUUUGCAUAAAACUAUAUAUAUUGUUGCAAGAUGGACUACUAUAAUCUUCAGCCUUUCACCCAGUAAGUUCUGUUUACUUCACAUAUUAAGUGCUUUCCAUGUUCAGGAAGUCUUUAAUUAGCAAUUUUAUGUACAUGAAAUCAAGAUCAGCAAAAACAAAUAUUUCAGAAAUAGACUUAUUUCUCGCUGUUUCAGUUCACCAUGUACUUUUGUAGUGUAAAUUUAGGAUAGUAUAAAUAAAUGUAAAUUUGGGUAAAGUU
This is a long non-coding RNA of Cryptotermes secundus, 3453 nucleotides long. RefSeq lists it as uncharacterized. Lineage: Eukaryota; Metazoa; Arthropoda; Insecta; Blattodea; Kalotermitidae. The record is from RefSeq and is a predicted model, not a curated record. The transcript has 3 exons.